CUUUCCACGUUUUCGCGUCCAGGACGAGUAAUCGAGGAAUUUUGAAUUUGUCUGGUUCAGCCUAAACGCGGCAAUGGCGUAAGACGUAAUGGCUAAUCGGGCAGUUAGCGGGCUGCGGAUUGCAGCUUGGCCGGCAAAAGGAAUCCGUUCUGGCAAUAAUCAUCAGACGUUAUUCCCCUGUAAAAGUGCUGUUUUCCGUUAUGGGAAACAGGCUACCGAAAUAAUGCGCCCCUUAGCAAGCGACAACCGUGAGGUUGACGGCUUUGCGCCAAGUCACGGGGCCGUCGGUGAUUACCCGGCCAUGCGGUUUUUUGCCCGCAGCUCUGAUGCCAA
RNAcentral lists this non-coding RNA (333 nucleotides) under Sodalis glossinidius str. 'morsitans'. RNAcentral describes it as "rne5". It matches the Rfam family "RNase E 5' UTR element". Rfam says of the family: This family represents a conserved element found in the 5' UTR of RNase E mRNA. RNase E is a key regulatory enzyme in the pathway of mRNA degradation in E. coli that is able to auto-regulate the degradation of its own mRNA in response to changes in RNase E activity. This rne 5' UTR element acts as a sensor of cellular RNase E concentration enabling tight regulation of RNase E concentration and synthesis. The record is from RNAcentral. Lineage: Bacteria; Pseudomonadati; Pseudomonadota; Gammaproteobacteria; Enterobacterales; Bruguierivoracaceae.